Molecule: ribosomal RNA, 429 nt
Filed under: uncultured bacterium
Lineage: Bacteria
Description: bacterial SSU rRNA
Rfam family: Bacterial small subunit ribosomal RNA
Source: RNAcentral
GUGGGGAAUAUUGCGCAAUGGGCGGAAGCCUGACGCAGCGACGCCGCGUGGGGGAUGACGGCCUUCGGGUUGUAAACCUCUUUCGCUUCCGACGAAGCCUUGUUGUUGUGAGACGGUGGGGUGACGGUAGGGGGAGAAGAAGCACCGGCCAACUACGUGCCAGCAGCCGCGGUAAUACGUAGGGUGCGAGCGUUGUCCGGAAUUAUUGGGCGUAAAGAGCUCGUAGGCGGUGUGUCGCGUCGGCCGUGAAAACCUGUGGCUUAACUGUGGGCUUGCGGUCGAUACGGGCAUCACUGGAGUUCGGCAGGGGAGACUGGAAUUCCUGGUGUAGCGGUGAAAUGCGCAGAUAUCAGGAGGAACACCGGUGGCGAAGGCGGGUCUCUGGGCCGAUACUGACGCUGAGGAGCGAAAGCGUGGGGAGCGAACAGG